Molecule: non-coding RNA, 1078 nt
Organism: Peromyscus maniculatus bairdii (prairie deer mouse)
Lineage: Eukaryota; Metazoa; Chordata; Mammalia; Rodentia; Cricetidae
Source: RefSeq, a predicted model, not a curated record
AGGAGCAACAAGAUGCCAGCAGACCGGUAACGCCACAGCCAUGUGGCAGCAUAUAGAUUAAUAGGAAUGCGUUAAUUUAAGUUGUAAGAGCUAGCUAGCAAGAAGCCUGAGCCAAUAGGCCAUAGAAUUGGUAAUUAGCAUAAGCCUCUGUAUAAUUAUUUUAUAAGUGGCUGCGGGACCAGGCGGGAUACAGGAAAACUUCUGACUGCCCUGCUGGGUAAAGCAAGCUCAGAUUCUCAGACCCUGAGUGAGUUCUCACUAGGAAACCUCUGUGGUCCCUACAACAAAGUUCUCAAAAAACAUCAGAUUUUUCUAUUUUUCCCUUUAUUUGACUUCUUCUGGUCUUUUUUUAUAUUAUUUUUUUUAAUGUACUAGGAAAUAACUAGAAAAUUCCAUUUCUAGGAAGCCCACAGAAGGCGGCGGAUAGACAAGAAUGGAGGCGAUGUCUCGAACAAUCCUGUGACUGGCAACUUUUCACCAGCCAAGCCAUGUGUAUCCAGAUCCUGAGGAAAACAAGUUCACAGGGUCUCUCACUGGACAUAUUGCUGUUUUUCGGCUGGGCGAACUGGCCAGAAAAGCCCACUCGCCCCCCCUGUCUCUGCCACCCUGGGAUGGUAGGUGGCGUGGAAAGACCCACCAUAGAUGCAUCUGCGACAGACAGUUCCGUGGCCUUGGGUCCUGGGCCGCACAAAAGAAGGCAGGAAGUUGACUGAGCGGGACCGUUCAUCUCUGCUUUCUGGCUAUGGAUGUAACGUGAGCAGCUGUCUCAAGCUCCAGCUGCCGAGACCCCACCAUAGCUGGCCAUGUCCUCCAGCUGAGCUGCCACCAGCCUGAAGGUGAGGCAGGAACAUAAGCGACACGUCAGAUGGGUUGAUGGACACAGAACCAUGGACAUUCUGGCGAAGAGGAUGUGAUGCUGUAAGGAACCACCCUCCUGGAGAGAGCGGCUGUCAUCACUACCCCUGCCUGCCCCUGCGGCCUCUAGAGAAAAGAAAGAUGUACUUAAGGGGGUCAGGCUUGAUCGGCUGUCACCCAGAGUCACCUGCCACUAACUGUACAAAACUCCCAAUAAAGUGCA